UCUCCGUUGGUGAACCAACGGAGGGAUCAUUACCGAGUGCAAACUCAUAACCCUUUGUGAACCUAUAUCUGUUGCUUCGGCGGCUCGCUCUCGGGCGAGCCCGCCGGUAAUAUCAGUAUCUCUGUUUGAACCCGACGAUACUUCUGAGUGUUCUUAGCGAACAGUUAAAACUUUUAACAACGGAUCUCUUGGCUCUA
Molecule: unclassified non-coding RNA, 197 nt
Filed under: plant metagenome
Description: partial contains small subunit ribosomal RNA, internal transcribed spacer 1, and 5.8S ribosomal RNA
Source: RNAcentral